Molecule: ribosomal RNA, 547 nt
Filed under: Aspergillus fumigatus
Lineage: Eukaryota; Fungi; Ascomycota; Eurotiomycetes; Eurotiales; Aspergillaceae
Description: eukaryotic LSU rRNA
Rfam family: 5.8S ribosomal RNA (bases 184-337)
Source: RNAcentral
UCGAGCUGAGAGACUCUGGGUCACCUCCCACCCGUGUCUAUCGUACCUUGUUGCUUCGGCGGGCCCGCCGUUUCGACGGCCGCCGGGGAGGCCUUGCGCCCCCGGGCCCGCGCCCGCCGAAGACCCCAACAUGAACGCUGUUCUGAAAGUAUGCAGUCUGAGUUGAUUAUCGUAAUCAGUUAAAACUUUCAACAACGGAUCUCUUGGUUCCGGCAUCGAUGAAGAACGCAGCGAAAUGCGAUAAGUAAUGUGAAUUGCAGAAUUCAGUGAAUCAUCGAGUCUUUGAACGCACAUUGCGCCCCCUGGUAUUCCGGGGGGCAUGCCUGUCCGAGCGUCAUUGCUGCCCUCAAGCACGGCUUGUGUGUUGGGCCCCCGUCCCCCUCUCCCGGGGGACGGGCCCGAAAGGCAGCGGCGGCACCGCGUCCGGUCCUCGAGCGUAUGGGGCUUUGUCACCUGCUCUGUAGGCCCGGCCGGCGCCAGCCGACACCCAACUUUAUUUUUCUAAGGUUGACCUCGGAUCAGGUAGGGAUACCCGCUGAACCUUAAG